AGCAGCCGCGGUAACACCAGCUCCAUUAGCGUAUAUUAAAGUUGUUGCAGUUAAAAAGCUCGUAGUUGGAUGUCUGACAUGAUGAGCCUGGCCCGGCAGUCGCUUCGCGACUGGUUGUGUGCCGGUUUUUUAUAGGCCGGCUGCCAUGGUUCUCCCUUCGUGGUGAGAUCGGGCGGUCGGUUGCUCAUCGGUCAUCCUUAAUCAGAACCUCUCUACCAUUAAUUUAGCCCGGGGAGACGAUGGUUAUCAUUUACUUUGAGAAAAUUAGAGUGUUUAAGGCAGACUUAUGUCGUGAAUACAUUAGCAUGGAAUAAUAAGAUAAGUCUUCGGCAGCAAUUUGGCCCGUUCGCGGCGUCAGGUUUGUCGUCUAUUUUGUUGGUUUCUAGAGCUGAAGAAAUGAUUGAUAGGGCUAGUUGGGGGCGCUCGUAUUGCUUGGCCAGAGGUGAAAUUCUCGGAUUCAAGUAAGACGAACUAAUGCGAAAAGCAUCCGUCAGGAUAUCCUCUUUAAUCAAGAACGAAAGUUGGGGGAUCGAAGACGAUCAGAUACCGUCGUAGUCUCAACCAUAAACGAUAGCGACUAGGGAUUUGGACGAUGUUCGCACAUUUAAGACUCGUUCAGCACCUUAUUCGAGAAAUCAUAAGUUUUCGGCUUCUGGGGGGAGUACGAUCGCAAGGUUGAAAC
RNAcentral lists this ribosomal RNA (682 nucleotides) under uncultured eukaryote. RNAcentral's name for it is "bacterial SSU rRNA". It matches the Rfam family "Eukaryotic small subunit ribosomal RNA", at positions 569 to 1143 of the family's 1831-position model. The record is from RNAcentral.